This 524-nucleotide ribosomal RNA is filed under the name uncultured bacterium. Its description in RNAcentral is "bacterial SSU rRNA". It matches the Rfam family "Bacterial small subunit ribosomal RNA", at positions 791 to 1319 of the family's 1533-position model. The record is from RNAcentral.
UAGUCCACGCCGUAAACGAUGAUUACUCGUUGUUGGCGAUACACAGUCAGCGACCAAGCGAAAGCAUUAAGUAAUCCACCUGGGGAGUACGUUCGCAAGAAUGAAACUCAAAGGAAUUGACGGGGGCCCGCACAAGCGGAGGAACAUGUGGUUUAAUUCGAUGAUACGCGAGGAACCUUACCUGGGCUUAAAUGUAGAACGACCGCCGCCGAAAGGUGGCUUUCCUUCGGGACGAACUACAAGGUGCUGCAUGGUUGUCGUCAGCUCGUGCCGUGAGGUGUCGGGUUAAGUCCCAUAACGAGCGCAACCCCUAUCACUAGUUGCCAGCGAGUAAUGUCGGGAACUCUAGUGAAACUGCCGGUGUAAACCGUGAGGAAGGUGGGGAUGACGUCAAAUCAGCACGGCCCUUAUGUCCAGGGCUACACACGUGUUACAAUGGCCAGUACAAAGGGCAGCUACUUGGUGACAAGAUGCUAAUCUCUAAAGCUGGUCUCAGUUCGGGUAGAAGUCUGCAAUUCGACUUC